AAUAUUGGACAAUGGGGGAAACCCUGAUCCAGCCAUGCCGCGUGAGUGAUGAAGGCCUUAGGGUUGUAAAGCUCUUUCGGCGGGGACGAUAAUGACGGUACCCGCAGAAGAAGCCCCGGCGAACUUCGUGCCAGCAGCCGCGGUAAUACGAAGGGGGCUAGCGCUGUUCGGAAUCACUGGGCGUAAAGGGCGCGUAGGCGGCCAAUCAAGUCGGGGGUGAAAGCCUGUGGCUUAACCACAGAAUUGCCUUCGAUACUGUUUGGCUUGAGACCGGAAGAGGUCAGUGGAACUGCGAGUGUAGAGGUGAAAUUCGUAGAUAUUCGCAAGAACACCAGUGGCGAAGGCGGCUGACUGGUCCGGAUCUGACGCUGAGGCGCGAAAGCGUGGGGAGCAAACAGG
Molecule: ribosomal RNA, 399 nt
Filed under: uncultured bacterium
Lineage: Bacteria
Description: partial 16S ribosomal RNA
Rfam family: Bacterial small subunit ribosomal RNA
Source: RNAcentral